RNAcentral lists this ribosomal RNA (249 nucleotides) under uncultured bacterium. RNAcentral describes it as "partial 16S ribosomal RNA". It matches the Rfam family "Bacterial small subunit ribosomal RNA", at positions 355 to 596 of the family's 1533-position model. The record is from RNAcentral.
UAGGGAAUCUUCCACAAUGGACGCAAGUCUGAUGGAGCAACGCCGCGUGAGUGAAGAAGGUUUUCGGACCGUAAAGCUCUGUUGUUGGUGAAGAAGGAUAGAGGUAGUAACUGGCCUUUAUUUGACGGUAAUCAACCAGAAAGUCACGGCUAACUACGUGCCAGCAACCGCGGUAAUACGUAGGUGGCAAGCGUUGUCCGGAUUUAUUGGGCGUAAAGCGAGCGCAGGCGGAAGAAUAAGUCUGAUGUG